Molecule: long non-coding RNA, 512 nt
Filed under: Prunus persica (peach)
Lineage: Eukaryota; Viridiplantae; Streptophyta; Magnoliopsida; Rosales; Rosaceae
Description: long non-coding RNA (PPER_LNC004263)
Source: RNAcentral
UUGAGAGUGUUUGUCCCACAUUGAAAUGUUAAGGGACCUAGCCUGGGUUUAUAAGGAGUUGGGCAACUCCCCCCAUUGCCAAUUGGUUUUGGGGUGGAACCUCAACUUCCUUCAUGGUAUCAGAGCAAGGCUUCACGUGUUGAGCCCAACAGCCACACGUGCUCCCACGUCACCCAAUAUGUGUUGUCCACGUGUUAGGCUUGAAAGUUCGCCACACGUGCGGGGGCGUGUUGAGAGUGUUUGUCCCACAUUGAAAUGUUAAGGGACCUAGCCUGGGUUUAUAAGGAGUUGGGCAACUCCCCCCAUUGCCAAUUGGUUUUGGGGUGGAACCUCAACUUCCUUCAAAAAGCCUUUAACGUUUGGUUUGGCAGACGCACUUGUUUGUAAAUUUACCUGCAAGUUUUUCUGGCAUUCCCACAAUAUACAAGCUAGUUUGUACUCGCACGCAGAGUACAGAGCCCAAGUGCUUUGAACAUUCCAAACGACAGCUCAAUAAUUAAACUUUGUCGUUC